RNAcentral lists this ribosomal RNA (1151 nucleotides) under Microbacterium sp. BAB-2353. Its description in RNAcentral is "bacterial SSU rRNA". It matches the Rfam family "Bacterial small subunit ribosomal RNA", at positions 186 to 1353 of the family's 1533-position model. Lineage: Bacteria; Bacillati; Actinomycetota; Actinomycetes; Micrococcales; Microbacteriaceae. The record is from RNAcentral.
GCAUGGUCUGUGGUGGGAAAGAUUUUCGGUUGGGGAUGGGCUCGCGGCCUAUCAGCUUGUUGGUGAGGUAGUGGCUCACCAAGGCGUCGACGGGUAGCCGGCCUGAGAGGGUGACCGGCCACACUGGGACUGAGACACGGCCCAGACUCCUACGGGAGGCAGCAGUGGGGAAUAUUGCACAAUGGGCGGAAGCCUGAUGCAGCAACGCCGCGUGAGGGAUGACGGCCUUCGGGUUGUAAACCUCUUUUAGCAGGGAAGAAGCGUAAGUGACGGUACCUGCAGAAAAAGCGCCGGCUAACUACGUGCCAGCAGCCGCGGUAAUACGUAGGGCGCAAGCGUUAUCCGGAAUUAUUGGGCGUAAAGAGCUCGUAGGCGGUUUGUCGCGUCUGCUGUGAAAACCCGAGGCUCAACCUCGGGCCUGCAGUGGGUACGGGCAGACUAGAGUGCGGUAGGGGAGAUUGGAAUUCCUGGUGUAGCGGUGGAAUGCGCAGAUAUCAGGAGGAACACCGAUGGCGAAGGCAGAUCUCUGGGCCGUUACUGACGCUGAGGAGCGAAAGGGUGGGGAGCAAACAGGCUUAGAUACCCUGGUAGUCCACCCCGUAAACGUUGGGAACUAGUUGUGGGGGCCUUUCCACGGUCUCCGUGACGCAGCUAACGCAUUAAGUUCCCCGCCUGGGGAGUACGGCCGCAAGGCUAAAACUCAAAGGAAUUGACGGGGACCCGCACAAGCGGCGGAGCAUGCGGAUUAAUUCGAUGCAACGCGAAGAACCUUACCAAGGCUUGACAUACACCGGAAACGUCUGGAGACAGUCGCCCCUUUUUGGUCGGUGUACAGGUGGUGCAUGGUUGUCGUCAGCUCGUGUCGUGAGAUGUUGGGUUAAGUCCCGCAACGAGCGCAACCCUCGUUCUAUGUUGCCAGCACGUUAUGGUGGGAACUCAUGGGAUACUGCCGGGGUCAACUCGGAGGAAGGUGGGGAUGACGUCAAAUCAUCAUGCCCCUUAUGUCUUGGGCUUCACGCAUGCUACAAUGGCCGGUACAAAGGGCUGCAAUACCGUGAGGUGGAGCGAAUCCCAAAAAGCCGGUCCCAGUUCGGAUUGAGGUCUGCAACUCGACCUCAUGAAGUCGGAGUCGCUAGUAAUCGCAGAUCAGC